CGACACAGGAACGAGCAUUUUCGGGGACUAGCCCGUGCGAGAGACUUCUAUGCCCCGCCCCAUUCUACACACCCCGGGAGGGCUAUUCAGUAAUUACAGACAGAUGUCCGAAUUACGAAUAGCGCGCACCACCUUCCGAUAGGGAACAGAACUCCGCGUUCCACUAUUGUCUAUCUCAGACAAAUAGUGGCGCAGGGUUUGUUCCGAGAAAGGCUGCCCGCCUCUCUUGUAAAAGAGAACGUCACGGAUUUCGAACCGUUUCCGGAUGAGAUCCUCAGCACGCUACCCAUCACCGAUGAGUGCUGCACCUACGAUAAUAGGUCAUCG
This 327-nucleotide long non-coding RNA is filed under the name Rosa chinensis. RNAcentral's name for it is "sRNA RchiOBHm_MTg0498761". The record is from RNAcentral. Lineage: Eukaryota; Viridiplantae; Streptophyta; Magnoliopsida; Rosales; Rosaceae.